GACAGAGGGUGCAAACGUUGUUCGGAAUUACUGGGCGUAAAGCGCGUGUAGGCUGCUCGGAAAGUCGGAUGUGAAAGCCCUGGGCUCAACCUAGGAAGUGCAUUCGAAACUUCUGAGCUGGAGUGCUGGAGAGGAAGGCGGAAUUCUCGGUGUAGAGGUGAAAUUCGUAGAUAUCGAGAGGAACACCGGUGGCGAAGGCGGCAUCCUGGACCGGCAUUGACGCUGAGGCGCGAAAGCCAGGGGAGCAAACGGG
RNAcentral lists this ribosomal RNA (253 nucleotides) under uncultured bacterium. RNAcentral describes it as "partial 16S ribosomal RNA". It matches the Rfam family "Bacterial small subunit ribosomal RNA", at positions 524 to 776 of the family's 1533-position model. The record is from RNAcentral.